AAGUACACGCAUAUAUUCAUAUGCAGAGACUGCGAACGGCUCAUUAAAACAGUUAUAAUCUACUUGACAUUUUUUUUUUUCUAUAAGGAUAACUACGGAAAAGCUGUAGCUAAUACUUGUUUUAUUACUCUCGACGAAUGUCUUGAGUAGGUACUUGUUAGCCUUUAUAAGAAAAAAGUUAAUAACUUAAGGAAUUAUAACAAAGAAGAGACACACAACAAAGAUUCAUCCCAAAGAGGUGUGUAUCAAUCGAGUUUCUGACCUAUCAGCUUUUGAUGUUAGGGUAUUGGCCUAACAUGGCUAUGACGGGUAACGGGGAAUUAGAGUUCGAUUCCGGAGAGGGAGCCUGAGAAAUAGCUACCACAUCUAAGGAAGGCAGCAGGCGCGUAAAUUACCCAAUUCUAAAGAAGAGAGGUAGUGACAAGAAAUAACAAUACAAGACCAAAACUGGUUUUGUAAUUGGAAUGAUGGGAAUUUAAAUUCUUCCCAUAAUACAAUUGGAGGGCAAGUCUGGUGCCAGCAGCCGCGGUAAUUCCAGCUCCAAUAGCGUAUAUUAAAAUUGUUGCAGUUAAAACGCUCGUAGUUGAAUUUCAAAGAACCGAUAUUUUAAUAAUGCUGUUAGCUAGAGCCACAAAAAGUUGAGCCAUCUCGGUUUCGGCUUUAUGUGCGCAUCUCUACCUAUCAAGUGUUUUUUUAAUUAAAGUGUUUCUUUUUAAAAUCUUCUCUAGCUAAAACAUAUGGAAGGUUUUGUUACUUUGAGUAAAUUAAAGUGUUCAAAGCAAACAGAUAUAGCAUUUCGCGUUUGAAUACUACAGCAUGGAAUAACAAAAUUGAACAAGUCAAAACUAUGUUCCUUUUUUCUUAUUUUUGGCUUAGUUACGAUUAAUAGGAGUAGUUUGGGGACAUUUGUAUUCAGAUGUCAGAGGUGAAAUUCUAAGAUUUUCUGGAGACAAACAACUGCGAAGGCAUUUGUCUAAAAUACUUCCAUUAAUCAAGAACGAAAGUUAAGGGAGUGAAGACGAUCAGAUACCGUCGUAAUCUUAACCAUAAACUAUACCGACUAGGUUUUGGAUGAAAGUAAAACAAAUAAGGAUAGUCUCUUCGGGGAUAGUCCUUAGAUUUCUUCCUUCAGUACCCUAUGAGAAAUCAAAGUCUUUGGGUUCUGGGGCGAGUAUUCGCGCAAGCGAGAAAGUUAAAAGAAUUGACGGAAGGGCACCACCAGGCGUGGAGCUUGCGGCUUAAUUUGACUCAACACGGGAAAACUCACUAGUUUAAAACAAGAGUAGGAUUGACAGAUUAAUAGCUCUUUCUUGAUUUCUUGGAUGGUGAUGCAUGGCCGUUUUUAGUUCGUGAAUAUGAUUUGUCUGGUUAAUUCCGAUAACGAACGAGAUCUUAACCUGCUAAUUAGCGGUAAGUACGACAUAUUUUUAUAUCGAAUUGGAUAUGUAUGAUUUGCUAAAUUGCGGUCGCAAAUAAUGAUGAUCCUGAUUGCUUUUCACGUCAGUGUUUUCCAGAAUCGUUGACGUGACUAGUAUAUUCUCGCUCCUUCUGUUCCC
RNAcentral lists this ribosomal RNA (1556 nucleotides) under Plasmodium cynomolgi. RNAcentral describes it as "SSU rRNA". It matches the Rfam family "Eukaryotic small subunit ribosomal RNA", at positions 61 to 1404 of the family's 1831-position model. Lineage: Eukaryota; Apicomplexa; Aconoidasida; Haemosporida; Plasmodiidae. The record is from RNAcentral.